This 406-nucleotide ribosomal RNA is filed under the name uncultured bacterium. Its description in RNAcentral is "partial 16S ribosomal RNA". It matches the Rfam family "Bacterial small subunit ribosomal RNA", at positions 30 to 526 of the family's 1533-position model. The record is from RNAcentral.
AUUGAACGCUGGCGGCAGGCCUAACACAUGCAAGUCGAACGAGUGGCGGACGGGUGAGUAAUGUCUGGGAAACUGCCUGAUGGAGGGGGAUAACUACUGGAAACGGUAGCUAAUACCGCAUACCCUCGGAUGUGCCCAGAUGGGAUUAGCUAGUAGGGGGGGUAAAGGCUCACCUAGGCGACGAUCUCUAGCUGGUCUGAGAGGAGGACCAGCAACACGGGAACUGAGACACGGUCCAGACUCCUACGGGAGGCAGCAGUGGGGAAUAUUGCACAAUGGGCGCAAGCCUGAUGCAGCCAUGCCGCGUGUAUGAAGAAGGCCUUCGGGUUGUAAAGUACUUUCAGUGGGGAGGCGUUACCCGCAGAAGAAGCACCGGCUAACUCCGUGCCAGCCGCCGCGGUAAUUC